AGUCGAGCGGAAACGAUGGUAGCUUGCUACCAGGCGUCGAGCGGCGGACGGGUGAGUAAUACUUAGGAAUCUACCUAGUAGUGGGGGAUAGCUCGGGGAAACUCGAAUUAAUACCGCAUACGACCUACGGGAGAAAGGGGGCAGUUUACUGCUCUCGCUAUUAGAUGAGCCUAAGUCGGAUUAGCUAGAUGGUGGGGUAAAGGCCUACCAUGGCGACGAUCUGUAGCUGGUCUGAGAGGAUGAUCAGCCACACCGGGACUGAGACACGGCCCGGACUCCUACGGGAGGCAGCAGUGGGGAAUAUUGGACAAUGGGGGAAACCCUGAUCCAGCCAUGCCGCGUGUGUGAAGAAGGCCUUUUGGUUGUAAAGCACUUUAAGCAGUGAAGAAGACUCCGUGGUUAAUACCCACGGACGAUGACAUUAGCUGCAGAAUAAGCACCGGCUAACUCUGUGCCAGCAGCCGCGGUAAUACAGAGGGUGCAAGCGUUAAUCGGAAUUACUGGGCGUAAAGGGAGCGUAGGUGGCUCGAUAAGUCAGAUGUGAAAUCCCCGGGCUCAACCUGGGAACUGCAUCUGAUACUGUUGAGCUAGAGUAUGUGAGAGGAAGGUAGAAUUCCAGGUGUAGCGGUGAAAUGCGUAGAGAUCUGGAGGAAUACCGAUGGCGAAGGCAGCCUUCUGGCAUAAUACUGACACUGAGGCUCGAAAGCGUGGGUAGCAAACAGGAUUAGAUACCCUGGUAGUCCACGCCGUAAACGAUGUCUACUAGUCGUUGGGUCCCUUGAGGACUUAGUGACGCAGCUAACGCAAUAAGUAGACCGCCUGGGGAGUACGGCCGCAAGGUUAAAACUCAAAUGAAUUGACGGGGGCCCGCACAAGCGGUGGAGCAUGUGGUUUAAUUCGAUGCAACGCGAAGAACCUUACCUGGUCUUGACAUAUCUAGAAUCCUGCAGAGAUGCGGGAGUGCCUUCGGGAAUUAGAAUACAGGUGCUGCAUGGCUGUCGUCAGCUCGUGUCGUGAGAUGUUGGGUUAAGUCCCGCAACGAGCGCAACCCUUGUCCUUAGUUACCAGCGGGUUAAGCCGGGAACUCUAAGGAUACUGCCAGUGACAAACUGGAGGAAGGCGGGGACGACGUCAAGUCAUCAUGGCCCUUACGACCAGGGCUACACACGUGCUACAAUGGUAGGUACAGAGGGCAGCUACACAGCGAUGUGAUGCGAAUCUCAAAAAGCCUAUCGUAGUCCAGAUUGGAGUCUGCAACUCGACUCCAUGAAGUAGGAAUCGCUAGUAAUCGCGGAUCAGAAUGCCGCGGUGAAUACGUUCCCGGGCCUUGUACACACCGCCCGUCACACCAUGGGAGUUGAUUGCACCAGAAGUGGAUAGCUUAACCUU
Molecule: ribosomal RNA, 1389 nt
Filed under: Psychrobacter okhotskensis
Lineage: Bacteria; Pseudomonadati; Pseudomonadota; Gammaproteobacteria; Moraxellales; Moraxellaceae
Description: 16S ribosomal RNA
Rfam family: Bacterial small subunit ribosomal RNA
Source: RNAcentral